Molecule: long non-coding RNA, 417 nt
Filed under: Carica papaya (papaya)
Lineage: Eukaryota; Viridiplantae; Streptophyta; Magnoliopsida; Brassicales; Caricaceae
Description: long non-coding RNA (CPAP_LNC012025)
Source: RNAcentral
UUUUCAGAAUACACACACUCCACCCUUCCAUGCCUACCUUUUCUGUUAGCACCCAACACACUCUUUAUCCCUGCCUUCACUCCUCCAUGUACUUCCACUCACAACCACACAUAAUUUCCUCUCUCAUACGAACCUCCCUCACCCAUUGAACUCCUCAUUCUCUCUCCUUCCCCGGCCUCCUCCAUGUACCUCCACUCAGCAUCACACAAAAUUUCCUCUCUCUCAUGGACCUCACUCACUCACCAAACUCCUCAUUCUCUCUCCUCCCGCGGCCUCCUCCAUGUACCUCCACUCAUACUCACACAGAAUUUCCUCCCUCUCACGGACCUCACUCAUUCACCAAACUCCUCAUUCUCUCUCAUCCCGCGGCCUCCUCCAUGUACAUCUUUCACACUUCCACGAUUCCACCGACCUUAU